Molecule: ribosomal RNA, 567 nt
Filed under: uncultured bacterium
Lineage: Bacteria
Description: bacterial SSU rRNA
Rfam family: Bacterial small subunit ribosomal RNA
Source: RNAcentral
UCCUACGGGAGGCAGCAGCAGGGAAUAUUGUGCAAUGAACGAAAGUUUGACACAGCGACACCGCGUGUGGGAUGACGGAUCUAGGUUUGUAAACCACUUUCAGGAGGGAAGAAAAUGACGGUACCUCCAUAAGAAGCCCCGGCCAACUACGUGCCAGCAGCCGCGGUAAUACGUAGGGGGCGAGCGUUGUCCGGAUUUAUUGGGCGUAAAGAGCUCGUAGGCGGUUCAACAAGUCGGUCGUGAAAGUUCAGGGCUCAACCCUGAAAUGUCGAUCGAUACUGUUGUGACUAGGAUACGGUAGAGGUGAGUGGAAUUCCGAGUGUAGCGGUGAAAUGCGUAGAUAUUCGGAGGAACACCAAUUGCGAAGGCAGCUCACUGGGCCGCUAUCGACGCUGAGGAGCGAAAGCUAGGGGAGCAAACAGGAUUAGAUACCCUGGUAGUCCUAGCUGUAAACGAUGGAUACUAGACGUAGGAACUGGAUUGACGGUUUCUGUGUCGCAGCUAACGCGUUAAGUAUCCCGCCUGGGGAGUACGGUCGCAAGACUAAAACUCAAAGGAAUUGACGGA